CACUCGCUUCUGGGGAAGCAUAGAGAGUAGGAGGCCGCCGAGGAUCGCGAGCACGGCGGCCGCUGCGAGGAGGUACAAGGCGGAAGAGGGCGGCAGGGAUAGGGGCAGGCGCGUCAGAUCCAGGUUGUGCGGAGGCCGGGGCAGCUGCGGUUGCCUGCGCGUAUCGGGUCAGGCCAAGGUGAGGCGGGAAGCGCGAGGGAGAGAUGGCGUCGGGCGGAUUCAGGGGGAGGAGAUCUCACCUUGGAACCAGCGGCGUUGGAGGCUCCUGUGGUGUCUUCCGUCGAAGAGACAUCGUUCACAUUUGAGUUCAAGCGGGGGUUCAAAAGGGCAAAGAAAGCAAUGCCGCUGCCGGUGGAUGCAGCACUGCUGUCCACAAAUGCACUCCGACGCCGUUAAAUAUGUCUGAUUAGUGAACUGCCUGCUGAAAGCCUUGUCCGUGCUCUCUUCCUUUGUUUUGCAGGGCUUCUCCAGCAAUUCAAACGCUGUCAGGGUGAAGAAAGACGCACCGAAGCAGGUGAUAACUGAAGGGAGCCUUAUCUACUUCUUGUAGGGAGAACUAAGGGCUGAAAUGAAGACUGUUGGUGAUCCUGGUUUGCCUGUUCAACAUCAUCAACUUGGGAGAAAUAAGGACUGAAAACACUUGAAGUGGGCUGAAGCGAUAGAGGAAUAGCAGCAGGCUGAAAUGGCUUAAUUAUCUGAGGCCAAAUAUUAAGAAGCGUGGUGACAUGGCUGAAACUUGUUUCAUGGCUAGAACAUUUUGUAUUCAUGUUUUUGUUGUGCUUUUGUAUGGAAACAUAGCUGGAACAUGUAUGUGCUAGAAUAUUAUUUAUGGUUGGAAAUAAUAUUUAUAUAUCGUUUGGGAUGGUUAUCAUAAUUGUACAAGUGCUUAUGUGGUUCAUAAUCUAUGAUUUUUUAGUUGAGCUGGCUCA
This is a long non-coding RNA of Sorghum bicolor (sorghum), 929 nucleotides long. RefSeq lists it as uncharacterized. Lineage: Eukaryota; Viridiplantae; Streptophyta; Magnoliopsida; Poales; Poaceae. The transcript has 4 exons. The record is from RefSeq and is a predicted model, not a curated record.